Molecule: ribosomal RNA, 450 nt
Filed under: uncultured prokaryote
Description: bacterial SSU rRNA
Rfam family: Bacterial small subunit ribosomal RNA
Source: RNAcentral
UCGGGAAUAUUGGGCAAUGGGCGAAAGCCUGACCCAGCAACGCCGCGUGAAGGAUGAAGGCCCUCGGGUCGUAAACUUCUGUCGAGAGGGAAGAACAGCGGACGGUCGAAUAGGCCGGUCGUUUGACGGUACCUCCAAAGGAAGCACCGGCUAACUCCGUGCCAGCAGCCGCGGUAAUACGGAGGGUGCAAGCGUUGUUCGGAUUUAUUGGGCGUAAAGCGAGUGUAGGCGGUUCGACAAGUCGGAUGUGAAAGCCCAGGGCCCAACCCUGGAACUGCACCCGAUACUGUCAGGCUAGAGUCCCGGAGAGGGUGGCGGAAUUCCCGGUGUAGGGGUGAAAUCCGUAGAUAUCGGGAGGAACACCAGUGGCGAAGGCGGCCACCUGGACGGUGACUGACGCUGAGACUCGAAAGCGUGGGUAGCAAACAGGAUUAGAUACCCGGGUAGUCC